UUUAAAACUAAAUCAGAAAAGUGCUCUUCUCCUUUGUUAAUUCUGCACAAAUGAACAUGCUAUGUUUCUCUAUUCACAACCUCCUUUACCUCAGCUCACACCAUUACAACUUCCCAAGCACUAAGCGAUAACCGCAACGACACUCUCAUCUCAUCCAACGCCGCCUUCGCCUUGGGCUUUUACAGCCCACGGAGCUCCAAGAAUCGCUACGAGUGGGCAUAUGGUACAACCACAACAACAUGAGAGACAAGACCGUGGUGUGGGUCGCCAACCGAGACGACCCGCUCCCCGAUCGAUCAGGCGUGCUCCGGGUCAUCCCGCCAGGCCGCCUGCUCAUUCUCAACAACGCUACUAUCUGGUCUGCCAACAGUUCACGCACUGCGCAGCACUGCUCUCCUCUGGCGCUUCUGCUCGACUCUGGGAAUCUCGUCUUGGUGGAUGAAAGCGACGAGAGCAGUAUGAUAUGGCAGAGCUUCGACUAUCCAACUGACACUUUCUUACCAGAUGUUAGAAUGAGGCUCAGUAAGAACUUUGUGUCCGGGCAAGAAGUCUACGUCUCGUCGGCUAAAAGCAAUGAUGAUCCGGCAACAGGUGGCUUCACGUAUCGCUGCGAUCCCAGUGUCUAUCCGCAGACUGUGAUCAAAGAAGGUGGCUCGUUCCGGUACAAAGGAGGGCCGUGGAAUGGUGUUAGCUUCAGUGGCACUCCGAACUUGACAAUCCGAGGAAUUCUAGUGAAACCUAGGAGGAGCAAAAGAUACAAAUGUUUGAAUUAUCCACAAUGAUCAAUGCUACUAAUGGAUUUUCAAUCAGUAAUAAGUUGGGAGAGGGUGGAUUUGGGCCGGUUUUUAAGGGAUUGCUGGAGGGACAGGACAUUGCUGUGAAACGACUAUCAACAACUUCCCUUCAAGGAGCACAUGAGUUCAAGAAUGAGUUAAUCUGUAUCGCCAAACUUCGGCUUUUAGGAUGUUGCAUUCAAGGAGAAGAAAGGAUGCUCGUUUAUGAAUACAUGACCAACAAAAGCCUCGACUUAAUACUAUUCGGUUAACGUUCUUUCACAUUUAGCAUCCACCUCAAUUUUAUAGUACAUCAUAGGAAAGAACUAUGAUGUAUAAAUCACACAUAACUGUUGCAAAGUUUACCAAGAUGAGAUGUAGCAAAUCUUUAUCAAUUUCGUAAAAAAAAUGUGUAUAUGUUUCCUCACUUUUCUGGCAGAUCAAGUGAAGAGAAGGAUGCUAGACUGGCCAAGACGCUUCGAUAUUAUUAAUGGAAUUGCAAGAGGCCUUACCUAUCUUCAUCAAGAUCCCCGCCUUAGAGUUAUCCAUAGAGAUCACAAAGCCAGUAAUAUAUUACUAGACUCAGACAUGAUUCCUAAAAUAUCAGACUUUGGCCUUGCAAGAAUAUGUGGAGGCAACGAAACUGGAGCCAAAACAAGCCGAGCUGUAGUGGCUACAUGUCCCCGGAGUACGCUGUAGACGGUUUAUUUUCAGUGAAAUCGGACGUGUUUAGCUUUGGUGUUCUGGUGCUGGAAAUUAUAAGUGGCAAUAGUAACAGAGGAUUCACUCUGGUGAAUCAUCGCCACAACCUUCUUGGACAUGCAUGGAUGCUUUACAAAGAAGAAAGGUCACUUGAGCUAGCAGAUUCUUGUUUGGAAUAUUCAAGCUAUAUAUCACAAGUGGCGCGAUCGAUACAUGUGGGUCUUUAGUGCGUUCAAGAAGAGACGGAAGAGAGGCCAAACAUGUCUUCAGUGGUGCUGAUGCUGAACAAUGAUGGGGUUCUGCCCCAACCAAAACAUCCUGGUUUCUUCACAGGAAGAGAUGUAGUAAUAAGAAGUGAAACUUGGCACAGCUCUAACACUGCAGGUGCCGCUAAUGCAAUGACCAUUUUUAGUUAAACAAAUUCAAACUAAAAAUUACAGAUUAAAUUUGUAUAAUUACGAGACUGCUAUAGGAAUUUGAGUUGAAUGAGAAAUGGGGCAUUAUAACGUUUGAAUUGCUGAGGCAUUUCAGCAUUUCUUUUGGAAAA
Molecule: RNA transcript, 2022 nt
Organism: Salvia splendens (bonfire salvia)
Lineage: Eukaryota; Viridiplantae; Streptophyta; Magnoliopsida; Lamiales; Lamiaceae
Gene name: G-type lectin S-receptor-like serine/threonine-protein kinase At4g27290
Exons: 6
Source: RefSeq, a predicted model, not a curated record